ACAACAUUCGGACCGUCGGUCUACCGAGCAAUAUCACUCGCUUAGUGGAAGAUUUUGGCUCCGUCGU
RNAcentral lists this microRNA precursor (67 nucleotides) under Bombyx mori (domestic silkworm). RNAcentral's name for it is "mir-2774 microRNA precursor family". It matches the Rfam family "mir-2774 microRNA precursor family". Lineage: Eukaryota; Metazoa; Arthropoda; Insecta; Lepidoptera; Bombycidae. The record is from Rfam by way of RNAcentral.